GAAGCGGGAAAAGCUCAAAUUUAAAAUCUGUCAGUCUUUGGCUGUCCGAGUUGUAAUCUAGAGAAGCGUUAUCCGCGCUGGACCGUGUACAAGUCUCCUGGAAUGGAGCGUCAUAGAGGGUGAGAAUCCCGUCUUUGACACGGACUGCCAGGGCUUUGUGAUGCGCUCUCAAAGAGUCGAGUUGUUUGGGAAUGCAGCUCAWAAUGGGUGGUAAAUUCCAUCUAAAGCUAAAUAUUGGCGAGAGACCGAUAGCGAACAAGUACCGUGAGGGAAAGAUGAAAAGAACUUUGGAAAGAGAGUUAAACAGUACGUGAAAUUGCUGARAGGGAAACGCUUGAAGUCAGUCGCGUUGUCCAGGGAUCAACCUUGCUUUUGCUUGGUGUACUUUCUGGUUGACGGGUCAGCAUCA
RNAcentral lists this ribosomal RNA (409 nucleotides) under Cortinarius aff. anisodorus PDD 70812. RNAcentral describes it as "eukaryotic LSU rRNA". It matches the Rfam family "Eukaryotic large subunit ribosomal RNA", at positions 95 to 504 of the family's 3401-position model. Lineage: Eukaryota; Fungi; Basidiomycota; Agaricomycetes; Agaricales; Cortinariaceae. The record is from RNAcentral.